Lycium barbarum (goji berry) is the source of this 551-nucleotide long non-coding RNA. RefSeq lists it as uncharacterized. The transcript has 3 exons. Lineage: Eukaryota; Viridiplantae; Streptophyta; Magnoliopsida; Solanales; Solanaceae. The record is from RefSeq and is a predicted model, not a curated record.
AUGAAUGAAAUUAAGGCCCAACCCAUAGGGUGGCCGGCCAUGGCUAGAAAAAUAAGAAAAAAAAAGAUCCAAGCCCAAGUAGAAUUAAUCAUGUGAUAAAUGGAUAAAAUGCCACUUAAUCAUCCAAAAAUCCCAUAGAACCUUCAAGAAAAAUUUAGAAGGAGAAAAACAAAGAAACAAGAGCAAGAACAUAAGGGCCAUACGGCCAAGCUCUUGAAAUUUUGUCCCUUUGAAAUCUUUCUCCAAAAAUUAUUUUCUUGUGGUAUUUCCACUAAUUCAAGGGUCCUUUACAACUUGGUGUAAUUAUUUUGGAAGAAAGAGCACUUGUUUCUUCAAGUUGACAACUUGGUCAAGUGAAAAAGAUUGUAGAAAAAGAUUUUGGCGAACUUGAAACUUGAUUUUGGAGACGUGUAUGAAGCGGAAAAGGUCAGCAGACAGGUGGACGUGAUCCUUAGAAGCUCUACCAGCCGCACUUGACAGCGCUCCAGUUGUUCCGGAGCCUCACUCCAGCGGUACUAUUUUAUGCAUAUACAUUCGGGCUUGGUAGCACC